AUACUAAGAUGAUGAAGACCGUUGCUACACAUUUUUCUCUAGUGUUGGAUGCGGUACGUGAUGGAAAAGCUUCUACUCAACUUAUAGAUGCUGCAAAGUCAGCUAUGCAUUUGAUUACUACAGAGGAUCAAGAUGAUGGUGAAGGAAAAGAAGCCAAGGAUCCAUUAAAUUAGUACAACUCGUAAGUUAUUAAUGAUUUGAAAAGGUCUUGUAAAAGAUAUAUUUCUUUUGUUAUGUUUUUUUUGUAAGGUUUUAAGAAGUUGAUAUAGUAGACAUUAUCUAAUUGACUUA
Beta vulgaris subsp. vulgaris (sugar beet) is the source of this 291-nucleotide long non-coding RNA. RefSeq lists it as uncharacterized. Lineage: Eukaryota; Viridiplantae; Streptophyta; Magnoliopsida; Caryophyllales; Amaranthaceae. The transcript is spliced from 2 exons. The record is from RefSeq and is a predicted model, not a curated record.